UAUUGGACAAUGGGCGAAAGCCUGAUCCAGCCAUGCCGCGUGUGUGAAGAAGGUCUUCGGAUUGUAAAGCACUCUAAGUUGGGAGGAAGGGCAUUAACCUAGUACGUUAGUGUGUUGACGUUACCGACAGAAUAAGCACCGGCUAACUCUGUUCCGGCAGCCGCGGUAAUACAGAGGGUGCAAGCGUUAAUCGGAAUUACUGGGCGUAAAGCGCGCGUAGGUGGUUUGUUAAGUUGGAUGCGAAAGCCCCGGGCUCAACCGGGGAACUGCAUCCAAAACUGGCAAGCUAGAGUACGGUAGAGGGUGGUGGAAUUUCCUGUGUAGCGGUGAAAUGCGUAGAUAUAGGAAGGAACACCAGUGGCGAAGGCGACCACCUGGACUGAUACUGACACUGAGGUGCGAAAGCGUGGGGAGCAAACAGG
Molecule: ribosomal RNA, 422 nt
Filed under: uncultured bacterium
Lineage: Bacteria
Description: bacterial SSU rRNA
Rfam family: Bacterial small subunit ribosomal RNA
Source: RNAcentral